AUGAACGCUGGCGGCGUGCCUAAUACAUGCAAGUCGAGCGAACGGACGAGAAGCUUGCUUCUCUGAUGUUAGCGGCGGACGGGUGAGUAGCACGUGGAUAACCUACCUAUAAGACUGGGAUAACUUCGGGAAACCGGAGCUAAUACCGGAUAAUAUUUUGAACCGCAUGGUUCAAAAGUGAAAGACGGUCUUGCUGUCACUUAUAGAUGGAUCCGCGCUGCAUUAGCUAGUUGGUAAGGUAACGGCUUACCAAGGCAACGAUGCAUAGCCGACCUGAGAGGGUGAUCGGCCACACUGGAACUGAGACACGGUCCAGACUCCUACGGGAGGCAGCAGUAGGGAAUCUUCCGCAAAGGGCGAAAGCCUGACGGAGCAACGCCGCGUGAGUGAUGAAGGUCUUCGGAUCGUAAAACUCUGUUAUUAGGGAAGAACAUAUGUGUAAGUAACUGUGCACAUCUUGACGGUACCUAAUCAGAAAGCCACGGCUAACUACGUG
Molecule: ribosomal RNA, 496 nt
Filed under: uncultured bacterium
Lineage: Bacteria
Description: partial 16S ribosomal RNA
Rfam family: Bacterial small subunit ribosomal RNA
Source: RNAcentral